Molecule: long non-coding RNA, 546 nt
Filed under: Capra hircus (goat)
Lineage: Eukaryota; Metazoa; Chordata; Mammalia; Artiodactyla; Bovidae
Description: lncRNA (ENSCHIG00000007940.1)
Source: RNAcentral
GGUUGAGUAACUUGCCCAAGGUUUCACAGCUAGGAAGUAAUGGAGCCCAAAUCUGAACUCAUGGGUGACUGCCUCCAGUGCAGAGACAGGGCCUGAAUUGAGUAGGACCUUGAAGGACAUACAGGUGUAGACAGAGGAAGGAAAGCCUGGAGGCUUCAUACAGAUAAAGAUGUCUACAUUGGGAACGAUGAGGAGGUGCAACACAGAUGCCUUAUUCUGUUGGAUUCCUGCAUAUGGGUCAGGAAUGAGUUAUUCUUUGGUCUUUAAAAGGAGAUGGCCUCAAACACCAAAGUCACAGUGAUAAAGAACCCAGAUGCUUUCAUUGGUGGCACAAGUUCCUGACUAUGACUUCCUGCAGAAGGAUGAUCAGAGCCUGCAGCAGGUGUAUCAGGAGUCUGAUUGAAUUGUUUGUCAAGAAAUACAUUAUCUGUGUAGAUCACAGAGUUGUCUGGAUGUAAACAUUAAAACAUGUGAGUUGUACAUAUGAAAUUUAUACAUAUAUUUAUGCACACAUAUUAUUUAUACAUAUGAAAUUGGUCUAAUAAA